Molecule: ribosomal RNA, 497 nt
Filed under: uncultured bacterium
Lineage: Bacteria
Description: partial 16S ribosomal RNA
Rfam family: Bacterial small subunit ribosomal RNA
Source: RNAcentral
GAUGAACGCUGGCGGCGUGCCUAAUACAUGCAAGUCGAGCGAACGGACGAGAAGCUUGCUUCUCUGAUGUUAGCGGCGGACGGGUGAGUAACACGUGGAUAACCUACCUAUAAGACUGGGAUAACUUCGGGAAACCGUAGCUAAUACCGGAUAAUAUUUUGAACCGCAUGGUUCAAAAGUGAAAGACGGUCUUGCUGUCACUUAUAGAUGGAUCCGCGCUGCAUUAGCUAGUUGGUAAGGUAACGGCUUACCAAGGCAACGAUGCAUAGCCGACCUGAGAGGGUGAUCGGCCACACUGGAGCUGAGACACGGUCCAGACUCAUAGGGGAGGCAGCAGUAGGGAAUCUUCCGGACUGGGCGAAAGCAUGACGGAGCCACAGCGCGUGAGUGAUGACGGUCUUCGGAUCGUACAACUCUGUUAUUAGGGAAGAACAUAUGUGUAAGUAACUGGGCACAUCUUGACGGUAUCUACUCAGAAAGCCACGGCUAAUUACGUG